Molecule: unclassified non-coding RNA, 348 nt
Filed under: soil metagenome
Description: partial contains 5.8S ribosomal RNA, internal transcribed spacer 2, and large subunit ribosomal RNA
Rfam family: 5.8S ribosomal RNA (bases 1-120)
Source: RNAcentral
GAUGAAGAACGUAGCAAAAUGCGAUAAGUAAUGUGAAUUGCAGAAUUCAGUGAAUCAUCGAAUCUUUGAACGCACAUUGCGCCCGCUGGUAUUCCGGCGGGCAUGCCUGUUCGAGCGUCAUUUCAACCCUCAAGCCCCCGGGUUUGGUGUUGGGGAUCGGCUCUGCCCUUCUGGGCGGUGCCGCCCCCGAAAUACAUUGGCGGUCUCGCUGCAGCCUCCAUUGCGUAGUAGCUAACACCUCGCAACUGGAACGCGGCGCGGCCAUGCCGUAAAACCCCAACUUCUGAAUGUUGACCUCGGAUCAGGUAGGAAUACCCGCUGAACUUAAGCAAAUCAAUAAGCGGAGGA